ACCACAUGCAAGAAAUAAAAUGCCCCAUUUAUUUUUGGCAUUAAGGAGGAGGAGUCCUUAAAUACUCCUCUUAAUUUCUCCCUUCUUAUCUUUCCAUGUAUUGCAUUAUUCCACGUGCCAUCAAAUGGCUCUUGAAAAUAUAUGGGUGCAGAAGAGGAGAAGUCCUUCUCUGUGAAGGAACUCACAUGCCAAAAUUAAAUGGGAUGCCCACUUUAUUUGUGCGG
This 224-nucleotide long non-coding RNA is filed under the name Elaeis guineensis (African oil palm). RNAcentral's name for it is "long non-coding RNA (EGUI_LNC062488)". Lineage: Eukaryota; Viridiplantae; Streptophyta; Magnoliopsida; Arecales; Arecaceae. The record is from RNAcentral.